AGGGUUAUAGCUCAGUGGUACAGCGUGUGUUUAGCACACACGAGGUCCUGGGUUCAAUCCCCAAAACCUCCA
Molecule: transfer RNA, 72 nt
Filed under: Camelus bactrianus (Bactrian camel)
Lineage: Eukaryota; Metazoa; Chordata; Mammalia; Artiodactyla; Camelidae
Also listed under: 2 other names
Rfam family: tRNA
About the family: Transfer RNA (tRNA) molecules are approximately 80 nucleotides in length. Their secondary structure includes four short double-helical elements and three loops (D, anti-codon, and T loops). Further hydrogen bonds mediate the characteristic L-shaped molecular structure. tRNAs have two regions of fundamental functional importance: the anti-codon, which is responsible for specific mRNA codon recognition, and the 3' end, to which the tRNAs corresponding amino acid is attached (by aminoacyl-tRNA synthetases). tRNAs cope with the degeneracy of the genetic code in two manners: having more than one tRNA (with a specific anti-codon) for a particular amino acid; and 'wobble' base-pairing, i.e. permitting non-standard base-pairing at the 3rd anti-codon position.
Source: Rfam by way of RNAcentral